RNAcentral lists this transfer RNA (69 nucleotides) under Sphaerodactylus townsendi. Its description in RNAcentral is "tRNA-Ile". It matches the Rfam family "tRNA". Rfam says of the family: Transfer RNA (tRNA) molecules are approximately 80 nucleotides in length. Their secondary structure includes four short double-helical elements and three loops (D, anti-codon, and T loops). Further hydrogen bonds mediate the characteristic L-shaped molecular structure. tRNAs have two regions of fundamental functional importance: the anti-codon, which is responsible for specific mRNA codon recognition, and the 3' end, to which the tRNAs corresponding amino acid is attached (by aminoacyl-tRNA synthetases). tRNAs cope with the degeneracy of the genetic code in two manners: having more than one tRNA (with a specific anti-codon) for a particular amino acid; and 'wobble' base-pairing, i.e. permitting non-standard base-pairing at the 3rd anti-codon position. The record is from RNAcentral. Lineage: Eukaryota; Metazoa; Chordata; Lepidosauria; Squamata; Sphaerodactylidae.
GGUGUAGCUCAGCGGUAGAGCGCUUGCUUGAUGGGCACAGGGUCCCGGGUUCAAUCCCUGGCAGCUCCA